RNAcentral lists this transfer RNA (74 nucleotides) under Solivomer arenidens. RNAcentral's name for it is "tRNA-Trp". It matches the Rfam family "tRNA". Rfam says of the family: Transfer RNA (tRNA) molecules are approximately 80 nucleotides in length. Their secondary structure includes four short double-helical elements and three loops (D, anti-codon, and T loops). The record is from RNAcentral. Lineage: Eukaryota; Metazoa; Chordata; Actinopteri; Myctophiformes; Neoscopelidae.
AGGGGCUUAGGAUAACACCUAUAGACCAUGGGCCUUCAAAGCCCCAAGCGGGAGUGAAAAUCUCCCAGCCCCUG